This 457-nucleotide ribosomal RNA is filed under the name Microcystis sp. RNAcentral describes it as "bacterial SSU rRNA". It matches the Rfam family "Bacterial small subunit ribosomal RNA", at positions 129 to 619 of the family's 1533-position model. RNAcentral also lists the same sequence under 2 other names. Lineage: Bacteria; Bacillati; Cyanobacteriota; Cyanophyceae; Chroococcales; Microcystaceae. The record is from RNAcentral.
ACUUCAGGACGGGGACAACAGUUGGAAACGACUGCUAAUACCCGAUGUGCCGAAAGGUGAAACCUAAUUGGCCUGGAGAAGAGCUUGCGUCUGAUUAGCUAGUUGGUGGGGUAAAGGCCUACCAAGGCGACGAUCAGUAGCUGGUCUGAGAGGAUGAGCAGCCACACUGGGACUGAGACACGGCCCAGACUCCUACGGGAGGCAGCAGUGGGGAAUUUUCCGCAAUGGGCGAAAGCCUGACGGAGCAACGCCGCGUGAGGGAGGAAGGUCUUUGGAUUGUAAACCUCUUUUCUCAAGGAAGAAGUUCUGACGGUACUUGAGGAAUCAGCCUCGGCUAACUCCGUGCCAGCAGCCGCGGUAAUACGGGGGAGGCAAGCGUUAUCCGGAAUUAUUGGGCGUAAAGCGUCCGCAGGUGGUCAGCCAAGUCUGCCGUCAAAUCAGGUUGCUUAACGACCUA